CAAUCAUAAUUGAAGCAAAAUGGUUGCCAGAACUUUUACAGAUACGUGGUUUGCUUCCAUUUCAGAACGUUUGCUGAUGCGUUUGUGCAGGAGAAUAUCGGUCUGUUUGGUCAAAUGGGCUUCUGCUGUACAUACAGUGCUGAUGGUGUCCUAAUGGAUGAAGUGGAAAAAUAUUCUUAAAGGGGUACUUUGGCAGACGCAGCCAUUUGGAGUACGGCCUCUCAUGGCUGCAGGCUUGCUGCAAGGUUUGCCUUUCUUUUAAUGAUAAUUCUGUAACAAGAUAUGAAGCUGACGUUUGUUUUACACUUUAUGUAAGUAUUUAAAAGAUCUGAGACCUAUUUUUGCUACGUAUAUAUUUUUUAAGCUUUAAGGCUGUGCCACUAAGAACACUUCAUCCAUCUUUUGUCAUUUUCUGAAACGUUACUAUUGUCAAAUUUAGAAUCCUUAACAGCAAUGAUGACGUUCCUCAUCUAAAAAAUCCUAAAGCAAAUGGAAGAAUUCCCUGGGAACCUGCAGACCAUGUGCAUGAUACAAAACUACGAAAAUUAGUCCAAAGUUCUGAUAAAUAUUUAGCGCCAGCGAGAGCUAAUAUUUGUUCUAGUUCUAAACAGUGAGAUGUUUAUUAUAUACAGAACACUUGGGUAGAAUAUGGACAGUAUACAAAGGUGACUCAAGGCAUUUCACGGUCUGACUUGUUUGUACAGCAGCCCUCUUUUGCUUACGCAUAGGCUCGUGCGCCAUAUGGAAGGGAACAUUCCUCGUGGUUCGACGGGCACAAUCGUACCGUCUGCCAGCGGCCUUCUGCAGGCUGCACAGGAGCUGCAGGCAGGAUUGAGGGUUGGCUCCUGAGCUGUGCAGCAUGAUCAGGUGUCAGUUUACAUCAGGAUCCCCAUGAAGUGCCAGCAGCCCAGGACAGAGUUAUGACACAAAUCAAGGUGUUGGUUGAAGCUUUGCUCCAGGUGCCACUGCCAAGGUGAGAAUUUUCACAUGAGUCUGUGGU
Molecule: long non-coding RNA, 1000 nt
Filed under: Gallus gallus (chicken)
Lineage: Eukaryota; Metazoa; Chordata; Aves; Galliformes; Phasianidae
Description: long non-coding RNA NONGGAT006919
Source: RNAcentral